RNAcentral lists this ribosomal RNA (497 nucleotides) under uncultured bacterium. RNAcentral's name for it is "bacterial SSU rRNA". It matches the Rfam family "Bacterial small subunit ribosomal RNA", at positions 30 to 518 of the family's 1533-position model. The record is from RNAcentral.
UGAACGCUAGCUACAGGCUUAACACAUGCAAGUCGAGGAGCAGCAUGAGAUUAGCUGCUAAUCUGAUGGCGACCGGCGCACGGGUGAGUAACGCGUAUCCAACCUUCCCCCUACUCAGGCAUAGCCCGGUGAAAACCGGAUUAACUCCUGAUAGUUUCACUAGAUGGCAUCUGACGGUGAAUAAAGCUUUGCGGUAAGGGAUGGGGAUGCGUCUGAUUAGCUUGUUGGCGGGGUAACGGCCCACCAAGGCGACGAUCAGUAGGGGUUCUGAGAGGAAGGUCCCCCACAUUGGAACUGAGACACGGUCCAAACUCCUACGGGAGGCAGCAGUGAGGAAUAUUGGUCAAUGGGCGCGAGCCUGAACCAGCCAAGUAGCGUGCAAGGAUGACGGCCCUAUGGGUUGUAAACUGCUUUUGUAUGGGAAUAAAGUCAGGGACGUGUCCCUGUUUGCAUGUACCAUAAGAAUAAGGACCGGCUAAUUCCGUGCCAGCAGCAGC